UACGUAGGUGACCAGCGUUGUCCGGAUUUACUGGGCGUAAAAAGCGCGCAGGCGGUCGUUCAAGUCGAGUGUGAAAGCCCCCGGCUCAACUGGGGAGGGUCACUCGAUACUGAUCGACUUGAAGGCAGGAGAGGGAAGCGGAAUUCCCGGUGUAGUGGUGAAAUGCGUAGAUAUCGGGAGGAACACCAGUGGCGAAGGCGGCUUCCUGGCCUGUUCUUGACGCUGAGGCGCGAAAGCUAGGGGAGCAAACGGG
This 253-nucleotide ribosomal RNA is filed under the name uncultured bacterium. Its description in RNAcentral is "partial 16S ribosomal RNA". It matches the Rfam family "Bacterial small subunit ribosomal RNA", at positions 524 to 776 of the family's 1533-position model. The record is from RNAcentral.